This is a long non-coding RNA of Capsella rubella, 364 nucleotides long. RefSeq lists it as uncharacterized. Lineage: Eukaryota; Viridiplantae; Streptophyta; Magnoliopsida; Brassicales; Brassicaceae. The record is from RefSeq and is a predicted model, not a curated record. The transcript has 3 exons.
UCUGAGUUUCAAAACCGCUCAUCACAUUUUGAAACCUUUGAACGCAUGUGGUUUGAUAUAGGAUAUUGGUGGUGAUUAGGCGAGCCCGCUUUCUUCACUCCGGAAAUGAGAGAGAAAGUGAGAAACAAAUCAUGUUCUCUUUUUGCGAGGUCUCUACUAUGUAAAUCAGAGUGUGACAGAUCGAGUUCGAUCCUCGUGGAAAACAAGGCAUGUUCGAUUUUGUUUACGGGCUUUUACUCUUCAUCUCUGAUAAAUUAUAGUAAAUGAGCCCAGAUUUUUAAAUGGAUCCAGCUUAACAAUUGAUGUUUUAUUAUGCAUUACUUAUUAAUUAUAAGAAAUCAAAACACCUAUUUAAUAAUAAUAA